Molecule: ribosomal RNA, 329 nt
Filed under: uncultured eukaryote
Lineage: Eukaryota
Description: partial 18S ribosomal RNA
Rfam family: Eukaryotic small subunit ribosomal RNA
Source: RNAcentral
CCCUUAGAUGUUCUGGGCCGCACGCGCGCUACACUGAUGCAUUCAACGAGUCUAAAACCUGGUCUGAGAGGGCUGGGUAAUCUUUUGAAAGUGCAUCGUGAUUGGGAUAGAUGAUUGCAAUUCUUCAUCUUCAACGAGGAAUGCCUAGUAAACGCAAGUCAUCAGCUUGCAUUGAUUACGUCCCUGCCCUUUGUACACACCGCCCGUCGCUCCUACCGAUUGAACGAUCCGAUGAAAACUGUGGAUUGAGAGUCUGGGUGGGUUCGCCUACCUCAACUUUCGAGAAGCGGUUUAAAUCUUAUCGUUUAGAGGAAGGAGAAGUCGUAACA